RNAcentral lists this unclassified non-coding RNA (276 nucleotides) under Hevea brasiliensis (rubber tree). Lineage: Eukaryota; Viridiplantae; Streptophyta; Magnoliopsida; Malpighiales; Euphorbiaceae. The record is from RNAcentral.
AUUCAGAAGCUAAAGGUAGAAAAUAGUGUCAUCAUUUUUUAAUUGAACACCAUUGGCAUUUGCCAUAAAACAUAAUGUGUUAGCCCCAGUCUCCUCAAUUGCACAAUACUAAAAGAACAGUUAUUCAACUAACGAUUCGAGUGCUUAAACCAAAAACAUUCUUGAAAUUAACCUCCCCAACCUCCUUAAAUAAACCUCAACAGUGUGAAUGAAAACUCAAACGUUAUAGAUGCUCAGUCGUGCAGUGUCCCCAAAAUGUCUUCAUCCCGGUACAAA